GGACCUGCAACCAGCACACACGCGCUUCGGGCAUGUGGGACAACAAAUUCGAAGUAGGUAUGGAGGAUCGCGCACAUGCAUGGGGGCGUGCAUGCACUAAUGAAGGCAGUGAGAUGCCUGUGGUUCACCGUAGAAUGCUUCAAAACAUGCGAGUCACUGCUGCACCAGCCGAGAAUCGAAGUCGGGUCUGGUCCGUGGCAAGGACCUAUGCUACCACUAUACCACUGGUGCUCUGUAAGACACGGGAACUGCCCGAGUGAACACCACUGCACACAACUAUAUCAAGAGUUACACACAUGCAGACAUACAAUGUGCACAGAAUCACGUGUUCUAUAUACCUAGGUAUAUGGGUAUGCCUCUCUGGUGCCCGUAAUAGGUUUGUCUGAGGGAGCACCAGUGGUGUCGUGGUUGCAUAUAUGGGUCCUUUGCCGCAGACUAGACUCGAGUUUAUCCUCGACUGGUGCACAAAAACAUGCAUGUUUUGUAGCAUUGUACAGUGGGCCGCUGGCUUCUCAGCAUUGCCUUGAUUAUUGGAUGUGCUCUAUCCACCUAGUUUGUUGUUCCAUAUGCCUGAAGCACAUGUGUGUUGGUAGCAGGUCCAGGUGCAUGUCCGAGGUAAUGUGUGCUUUGCCACAUGCCAAUAACACCCAGGCAGGAAGGGAUGAAUGCUCUGGCAUAUUGAACUGUAAAGUGCUCUGUCCUGCGCCAUAAUAGACGCAAAGACAUAAGUACACAGCAGGGAGAUGGGUGAAUGAGUGAAGAUUGCCAACCGUAUUAGGGCAUGGUNNNNNNNNNNNNNNNNNNNNNNNNNNNNNNNNNNNNNNNNNNNNNNNNNNUGCAAUAGGUCGGCGACAUACACAUACACAUGGUAUGUGCAUGUCCAAAUGUUUGUGCAUGUACAUGCACCUAGACACAUGUGUUUAUGUGUUUAUGUGUGUGUGUGCGUGUGUGUGUGUGUGUGUGUGUGUCUGCUGGAUACAUGUAUUCUAAUCCAACGAGUGUAUGGUGCUCCCUACAAAUCUCUUAAUCAUGGAGCUAUGGAUUUGGUGCUAGCACCUUUGAAUGCAAGCUAAGGUCGGUUAUGAUGGAUGGAGAGCUGUACUUGCACUACUGCACUCACAGAGUGCACUAAUAAGAAAACCUGGCAUAUGUAAUCCUGUUUGUGGCCAGCCGUGUACACGCAUGACGAUGGAUGACAUAUGUACACAUAUACAUGCAUACACAUAUGCUGUAUUGCACUUUAUUUGCAGUCCCUCACUUGUUUGCUUGUCUCCCUGCUGUGUGCGUGUGCCUUUGCAUCUAUUUGCACAGGACAGAGCACUUUAAAGUUCACUACACCAUAGCAUUCCUUCCUUCCUGCCUGGGUGUUAUUGGCAUGCAACAAUGCACCUAAUACCCAGGACAUACACUUGGACCUGCAACCAGCACACACGCGCUUCGGGCAUGUGGGACAACAAAUUCGAAGUAGGUAUGGAGGAUCGCGCACAUGCAUGGGGGCGUGCAUGCACUAAUGAAGGCAGUGAGAUGCCUGUGGUUCACCGUAGAAUGCUUCAAAACAUGCGAGUCACUGCUGCACCAGCCGAGAAUCGAAGUCGGGUCUGGUCCGUGGCAAGGACCUAUGCUACCACUAUACCACUGGUGCUCUGUAAGACACGGGAACUGCCCGAGUGAACACCACUGCACACAACUAUAUCAAGAGUUACACACAUGCAGACAUACAAUGUGCACAGAAUCACGUGUUCUAUAUACCUAGGUAUAUGGGUAUGCCUCUCUGGUGCCCGUAAUAGGUUUGUCUGAGGGAGCACCAGUGGUGUCGUGGUUGCAUAUAUGGGUCCUUUGCCGCAGACUAGACUCGAGUUUAUCCUCGACUGGUGCACAAAAACAUGCAUGUUUUGUAGCAUUGUACAGUGGGCCGCUGGCUUCUCAGCAUUGCCUUGAUUAUUG
Molecule: long non-coding RNA, 1944 nt
Filed under: Volvox carteri
Lineage: Eukaryota; Viridiplantae; Chlorophyta; Chlorophyceae; Chlamydomonadales; Volvocaceae
Description: long non-coding RNA (VCAR_LNC001719)
Source: RNAcentral